GUGAGUGGCGGCCAGGGGCGGCGGCGCCGGUGCGGCCUAGUCUUCGGUCACCGCAGGCCCUGGGGCUCCCUCUCCACCCCCCAUCCCCGCCGUCAAAGGGCCUGCGCAGGUGUGGGCGGAAGCAUCCAUGCGAGCAGCCUGCGGGUAGCUGUGUUGUUUGAAGAUGAGGUGUUUGGGGCCUGUUCUAUGGUUGCGUCGUGGCGUGUCCCCCUUCAAAAACCUUAAGUCGAUGUGUACGGGCUUGUGUUGCCCGUGUAAAAGGCCGGUAUCCAGUCCCCAGGAGCACCCCAGGCUAUUUGCAGCGGGAGGAUGGGCUGGCUGUCAGACCGUAUCACCUCUUCUGCAAGCUCAGGGCUGUCAAACAAGGGUUGGUUUGCAAACCUGAGCUCAGACCAGGCAGCUGAAGGAAACUCAGAGGUUCUCAGCAGAGACCAGAGGAGAAGGACCCAUGCUUUGCUCUGCCUUGCGUCAACCAAUGCCCUCUUCAUCUCCAUCCGUCUCAUGCAGGCAGCUGGGAUCCGGUUUUCACAGACCUGAAUCUCUGGGUUUGCUUUUUGUGCAGAGGGUUUGGAUGUGGGCAUGCUGCGCCUCCAUUCCCAUCUGGGAUUUCAGCAGGAUUUCUAUGUUCCAUCUUUUCCCCUUUUUCUCUUCUUCCUAUAAUGUUUUUUUCAUCCUUGGAUAGAGGGCAGAUUUAACCGGCCUCCCGCUAUAGGAAGCCUGGAUACUUGGUUAUCUUGGCUGAUCUCUGAACAAACCCUUAAACUUUUGUGGGCAAAGGCUCUCUCCUGCUUGAGAAAAAACAAAAUGUUGGCUGGGAGUUCCCAUGUGACAGUUUUCAUGAGACCCUUCGGUGCUAUAUAAAUUUCCAGAUUGGUCUUCUUGUGAAUACUGAGUUUUCAUGGGUUAGUAGGGAGACCAAAGUACAUGGUCUGUGCCUGUCAUCCUGCUCCUUGUGGCUGCCUUAAGGGCAGCUCAGGACACCUCCCUCCUGGCAGCUUGGAGUUGUUUUUAGAACUUUAUUGAUGGGGGCCCUGGAGUUUCCUUUCAGUAUUGAAAGUUAACCAGUUUUUCUCCGUCAGUUUUGUCCCACUGACUUACCUCUGCUGCUUUUUUCCUCAGCAUCGGAGAGUGUGCAGGGAAGCAGUCCGUCCUUCUGCCCAAGCUGCUUGGACCCACAUCUCUUCUCCAGCAUUGGCAACGGCACUAGAUUCACCAAGCCUGAAUUUGUCAUUCCCAUCUGAGCCCUGGAAGAACUCAGAGGAGAUUCUCAAGGUCUCUGGUGCUGCCUUGUCCGAGGCUGAGUAGCAGCACAGAGGAGCAGGUGAGCCUGGCAGAGGUGCCUGCAGCUUUGGACAACACACUCAUGGUCCCCAGGAGCGGGCUUCAGCAUGCAGCUGUCACCUCCUACGGAUACAAACUGCAGUGCCUCAGGAUCCAGGUGAGGCAGAUCGCCAGGGAGAGGGACAAGGCAAGGCUGGACUUGGAGAAAGUGGAGAGAUGCUGCCUGCAGCUUGGCAGGGAGUUGGACGAGCAGUACGUCGCUCUCGAGCACACCCAGAGAAAGCUCAAGGACGUUCAGGCAGAAAUAGAAGCAAAAGAGCUGCUUUUGCAGCAAGCAGUCAAUCACCAAGCGAAGCUGGAGGCUGAUGCACGGUUCCUCCAGGGCAAAGAGGACAGCCUGCAAGGGAGACUGAACCACACAAUGAAGGAGAACACACAGCUGCAAAACAAGGUCACAGAGAUGGCUGAGAAGCUGGCGGCCUCUGAGAAGCUGGUGUUGGAGCUGCAGAAAGAACUCAACUGUGUUGCAAAGGACAAGCUUGUGGAGUCUCACAGCCCAGAGCUCCCAAACCAGAACGAGUGCUUUGCAGAGAUUGUCCUGGAGUACGAGCGGCAGUGCCAGGUGCUGUGGGACCAGAACAGAGUGCUGUGGAGGGAGCUGGAAAGGCUGCGUCUCCAGCUACGGGAAUGCAGGGCUGAGAGAGGGCUGCCAGGAGGAGGCUUGUCCUCACAGGGCUCCUCUCUCAGAGCGUGCCGCUCUCCCAGCCCUCUGGUUCCCACUUCUGCCUGCACAGAGACAUCACCCUCAAUGGAGCAGCGCCAAGAGCAGCUGCGGGAUCUGAAGGUGCAGCUGGAAACGAAGAUAAACUAUUACGAGGAGGAAAUUGAGUUAAUGAGGAGAAACUUUGAGAGAGAGAGGAAGAACAGUGAGGAAAGCUUCAAGGCUGAGAUGCGCAAGAUGGAAGACCAGAAAAGAGAGCUGGAAGAAACAGUUGCAAAGUACUGGUCUGUAAUUGAUAGUCUGAAAGAGCAAAAAUGUGUGUGGAGCCUGGAGCUGGAGGAGAGGUUUGAGAUGGAGCAGGCCAGGGUGAGACAACAGCACACGGAAGACAUUCACCAUCCAGGGCAGCAGCUGUACCAGGAGGGAGAAGAGCUGAGGACGCAGUGCAAGGACAGAGAGAGUCUGAGGAAACACGUGAGCAAGUUGGGCGGAGAGAAGGUGGAGGAGCUGGCUGAAAUAGCAGAGUUAACAGCAUCGAGCGAGAAAAGCAAGGGGGAGGUCUCCCACCUGAAUGUCAGGGUGUGUCAGCUGGGCCGUGAACUCGGAGGGCACAAGGCCAGCCACGGUGCUGGCCCUGGCACUCUCCAGCGGCAGAGCCAGAGGCUUGCGGAGGCUGAGAGGCUACGAGGAGCAGAAGCAGCCAUAAGGCUGGAGCACCACCAGCAGCAUGCAGCAUGUUGGAUGGAGACAGAGCUGCUUCGACAGCAGCUCAAGACAUUGCAGGAGAAGCUCUUAGAAGCCAAAGCAAGCCUGAGCUUGGCCCAGACUCGGCAUGCUCUGCAGUUGCAGCAGGCUAAGACCCAGAUGAGCAACAUGGUGCCAAAGAAACAGUUUGAGCAGCUGCAAAACAGCCUGAGAGAGGAACAGUGCAAGGCUCAGCAGCUCCAGGAAAACCUCCACCAUCAGGCUGAGCAGACAUGCAGGCAGCUGGUCAGAACCCAGGAAGAACACGAGCGUCUGCUGCAGGCAGCUGUGGAGCAGGCAGAGGGGCUGGAGCAUAACCUGAGGAGUGCUGAAGCUCUGCUGGCAGAGAGGGCGGCUCAGCUCAAGGACACGCAGGCCCAGCUCUCCAGGAACAAAUUGCUGAUCAAAGACCUCCGUGAGGAGAACAGGGGGUUUGCAGUGGCCCUGCAGGCAGCUGAGCUGAAGCAGAAGAGCACUGAGGAGAAGAACCAGCUGUUGGAGGAGCAAGCCUCAGCCCUGAAACAGCUCAUUGGAAAAAUCACGCCAGCAUCUCUGAGUGGGUGAUGGGGCACUCGCUGUGGGAGCCCUGGUCCUGGCACUGGCCCAGGUUUGUCAGCUUGUCUUGGGCUCUAGGAGGGUCUGGCUCUCCUAAAGCUUGAGCCUAGGAUCCAAACCAAGUCAGAUUGUUUGGAUGGAGGCACUGCGGGAAGAGCCUUCUUUCAAUUUGAGCCUCCAAGGUGAUCCCUACCCAGCACUGCACUUAAAAGGAGACCAGAAGAUGUGGACAGUGGUACCAUCAUCGAUCUCAAAUUCUCCAUAGUCUCUUAAACACCGCACCUGUGAAGCAGAAACGCAGUGCUUGGAUCAGUGCUCUCACGCAGAAAACACUAGACAUCACUGCUGACUUACAACACGUGCCCCAGAACUGUGAGCAAGGACACAUUCCUGCCCGCCUGCUGGAGCCUCAACACAGGGCAGACCUGAGAAUGCAAAACUGGGCCGAUCCCAUGGUCUGUGGGCUCUACCUGGCCUUGUCUUCCUGCCUCUGCCUGGAGCUAGAAGCACCGGCAAGAAGCCCAGCCCUCCAGAGACUGGAUGAAGAGCGGCACAAGAGACAGGAUCCGGGGAACAGCAACAGCACUUCCAGGAGAACCUCCCCGCACACAUACCAGGAGGCGUCAAUCUAACAGUGAAACUGUCUUAGGGAGCGGGUUGAUUGUCACUACAUGGUCUUUCAAAGAGAACAUCAGAACAGAGCAGUUCAACUACUGAUUUCUCGCAUGCUCUUGCUUUGUUGUAUCAAUUGUGUAAAAUGAUUUACAGUCUCAUCUAUCAGAGUCCAUUUAAAAUAACAACAAAGAAAACUAGUUAACAAUCCUUAACAUGGGAACAAGGUUUCUAGUUGAUCUGAGAGUUAGUUAAGCUUCAGCAAAACGCUGCAAAAACUUCUCACUGGGAUUCAGACCAUUCACCCCACCCCACCAGUUCCCUGCGUAGUAGAAAUGCCGUCUUUCAACAGACUUUGAGCCCUUGGUAAAAGAGGGGGUAAAACGCUGUGAGGCAGAGCAUGAAGAGUAAAAUGUAGAAACUUGUGGAAGCUUCGGUGCUCUCGAAGGCUUUACUCGGUGACCUGACUUGGGAUGGGGGUGAAAUUCUCUCUGUGAACAGACAGAAACCAGCAACCUUGCACUUACUUCGAUGUACAGGCUUUUGGGAGGUUUUACGUCCUGUGUAAGGUCCAGCCCCUCCUCUCCUCCUACUGACCUCAUGUAGGUAGCCAGAGACUUUUUGUACCGAUUGAACCACUCCACCUGCAGACAGCAACAGUGAACUCUCAGGCAAAGCUGAAUAAAUGCUGAAAGACAGGUCCCUGAUGGGUGACAUGUAGUUUAUUUGUGCUGUCAGACCGCUGUUCCCAAGUGCGUUCAUGCCAGCCAAAGGUGAACACAAGCUCUUCUAAAGGGAAAAACUGCCCCAGAGGCAGAGUAAUCUGGAGCCAGGGCGGGACACGUGCUGCUGACAUUAGCAGCUCUGUAUGUUGGUCUUACAGAUGCUCUCAAAUGAAAGCAGCAUGUGAAGACCUAGUUCUGCCGGCUGUGAGUCUGACCUUGUAAAGACCACCUGAUCCUUAAAAGUGCCAAGUUAUCACCUGCACUCCAUAUCCAUUUGGGAUUGUACCCACA
Molecule: RNA transcript, 4929 nt
Organism: Chroicocephalus ridibundus (black-headed gull)
Lineage: Eukaryota; Metazoa; Chordata; Aves; Charadriiformes; Laridae
Gene name: ninein-like protein
Exons: 16
Source: RefSeq, a predicted model, not a curated record